UACGAAGGGGGCUAGCGUUGUUCGGAAUUAUUGGGCGUAAAGAGCACGUAGGCGGCCUUGUAAGUCAGUUGUGAAAGCCUUCUGCUCAACGGAAGAACAGCAUCUGAUACUGCAAGGCUAGAGUGCGGAAGGGGAGAGUGGAACUUCUGGUGGAGCGGUGAAAUGCGUAGAUAUCAGAAGGAACACCGGCGGCGAAGGCGACUCUCUGGUCCGUAACUGACGCUGAGUGUGCGAAAGCUAGGGGAGCAAACGGG
This 254-nucleotide ribosomal RNA is filed under the name uncultured bacterium. RNAcentral's name for it is "partial 16S ribosomal RNA". It matches the Rfam family "Bacterial small subunit ribosomal RNA", at positions 524 to 776 of the family's 1533-position model. The record is from RNAcentral.